RNAcentral lists this ribosomal RNA (55 nucleotides) under Staphylococcus intermedius. RNAcentral's name for it is "partial 16S ribosomal RNA". Lineage: Bacteria; Bacillati; Bacillota; Bacilli; Caryophanales; Staphylococcaceae. The record is from RNAcentral.
GCGGCGUGCCUAAUACAUGCAAGUCGAGCGAACAGCUAAGGAGCUUGCUUCCUUU